GCCACCCCCGUGUCACACUCUGGCCCUGCACCUGUCCCUCUUGCUCGCUGGCUCUGUCUCCGUGGGCACCAAAAAUAACUUUUUGGCCAGCUCUUCCUUUUCCUAAAUUAGUCAUGGGCCAUGUGGAAAUGUCACCCUGCCACCAUCCCGGGGAGCCACAGAGGAAAUAAUUAAGCCAGGAUUUUUUCCUUGCUCUCUCCUCUCCUUCAUUCCCCAAUUCCCAAAAAUUUGAUCGUUUCAAACUCAUCCAGGGAAGGAAUUUUUCUCUAAACUCCUGGAGGAAAAAAAAAAAAAAAGGAGAAUUAAAUUUUAAUUUUUUGAUAUUAUUUUUUUCCUUUUCAGUCCAUCUGUUCAGAGAAAGGAAUGUGGAGUGAACCUUCCCGGAAUUUUUGGAGCAGUUUGUUUUUUGUAAAUAGACACAAAUUCCUAAACUAUUAUCUCUCCAGAGAGCCUCCUCCUCCCCACUUAACUCACAUAAAAUAAAGAUUUUUAAGUUCCAGGGUAAAAUGAUAAUUCCAGAGCAAUCUGGAGCCUGGAUUCCUGAGUGUGAGCCAGCCCAGGGAAGGUGAAUUUCCAGCCCUUGCAGGGUGUCUCCCUCAGCUGACAAAGGGAACAACAUCCAGACCACGAAUUUCCCUCAUAUUUUCCACAUGAAGCCAAAUCCUAAAUAAAAUCUACUUGACAGGAGGAAGGCUUGGCUGCAGGAUUAGUCUCAUUUUAAUAGAAUAUCCACAGAUUUC
Molecule: long non-coding RNA, 740 nt
Organism: Haemorhous mexicanus (house finch)
Lineage: Eukaryota; Metazoa; Chordata; Aves; Passeriformes; Fringillidae
Exons: 3
Source: RefSeq, a predicted model, not a curated record